AUGGAGAACGAAGGCAUGGAGGCUCGGGGCGAUGGCGCCACGGAGUUCGCCAAGAUGACGCCAAUGUCAACAGCAUCAACCUGGUUCCGCAAGGAUCGUGGUGGGGAGCUCACAAGAAGGACGCCCGCCAUCCACUUCGUCAUGCUGGAGCUAAAGGACGGAGGCGUGGCGCCCAUUGAGGAUGCCGCCGACAUCUACUUCGUCAAGCUGGAGCCCAAAGGCGCGAAGCACGUAGGGAUGGUGCCGCGUGCCGCGGAGGAUGGCGAGAUGGAGCUCGCUAGGACGACGCCCGUCAUCUUCUUCAUCAAGCCGGCGGUAUAG
This 321-nucleotide ribosomal RNA is filed under the name Triticum aestivum (bread wheat). RNAcentral describes it as "partial small subunit ribosomal RNA". Lineage: Eukaryota; Viridiplantae; Streptophyta; Magnoliopsida; Poales; Poaceae. The record is from RNAcentral.